RNAcentral lists this ribosomal RNA (556 nucleotides) under Myliobatis australis (Australian bull ray). Its description in RNAcentral is "partial 16S ribosomal RNA". It matches the Rfam family "Bacterial large subunit ribosomal RNA", at positions 1816 to 2565 of the family's 2925-position model. The record is from RNAcentral. Lineage: Eukaryota; Metazoa; Chordata; Chondrichthyes; Myliobatiformes; Myliobatidae.
UCGCCUCUUGCCCAUCCCUGUAUAAGAGGUCCCGCCUGCCCUGUGAUUUUUUUAACGGCCGCGGUAUCCUGACCGUGCGAAGGUAGCGUAAUCACUUGUCUUUUAAUUGAAGACCCGUAUGAAAGGCAUUACGAGAGUUUAUCUGUCUCUAUUUUCCAAUCAAUGAAAUUGAUCCUCUCGUGCAGAAGCGAGAAUAAUAACAUAAGACGAGAAGACCCUAUGGAGCUUUAAACACUUAAGUUACUUUUAAAAUACCCAAACUCCCCACGGACAUAAAUAAAAAAUAACUCUCUAACUUAACUUGUUUUUGGUUGGGGCGACCGAGGGGAAAAAUGAAACCCCCUUAUCGAAUGUGUGAAAAAUCACUUAAAAAUUAGAGCCACAACUCUAAUUAAUAGAAAAUCUAACGAACAAUGACCCAGGGACACUCCUAUCCCUGAUCAAUGAACCAAGUUACCCUAGGGAUAACAGCGCAAUCCUUUCUUAGAGUCCCCAUCGCCGAAAGGGUUUACGACCUCGAUGUUGGAUCAGGACAUCCUAAUGGUGCAGCCGCUAU